Molecule: long non-coding RNA, 405 nt
Filed under: Ictidomys tridecemlineatus (thirteen-lined ground squirrel)
Lineage: Eukaryota; Metazoa; Chordata; Mammalia; Rodentia; Sciuridae
Description: lncRNA (ENSSTOG00000033089.1)
Source: RNAcentral
ACCCAGGGUGCUUAUUCACUAAGCCACACCCCAACCCCUUUCUUCCCCCUUUAAUUUUUGUUUUGUUUUUUUGUUUCAUUUUGAGACAGGGUCUCACUGAGUUGCUGAAGGCCUUGCCAAGUCACUGAGGCUGCCUUUGAAUUCAUGGUCCUCCUGCCUCGGCCUCUCCAGGCACUGGAUCUCCAGCAGCAGCCACACGCCCGGCUAUGCUAUUUUGUUAUAGCAGCUCAAACAGACAGAACUGGGAGCUCUGGGGGAAGGAGGCCACUUGAAACCAAGGUCUCAGGGGACUGCUGACGCUCGUCCUGUGCCGUGGCCUGCAGAGGUGUUAGCAUGAAUUUAUGUCAGAUUUCCAAAAGUUGCAACCUCCCGUCUGUUCAAACGACACUGUAGUUUCCCUUCUUU